RNAcentral lists this ribosomal RNA (775 nucleotides) under uncultured Neocallimastigales. RNAcentral's name for it is "partial large subunit ribosomal RNA". It matches the Rfam family "Eukaryotic large subunit ribosomal RNA", at positions 24 to 644 of the family's 3401-position model. The record is from RNAcentral. Lineage: Eukaryota; Fungi; Neocallimastigomycota; Neocallimastigomycetes; Neocallimastigales.
UACGACUACAUAUCAGGCAUAUCAAUAAGCGGAGGAAAAGAAACUAACUAGGAUUCCCUCAGUAACGGCGAGUGAAGCGGGAAGAGCUCAAAUUUGAAAUCUUCAAGGUUUUACCUUGACGAAUUGUAGUUUAAAGAAGUGUUUUCUGUUGGUGUUUUGGUAAAAGUUCUUUGGAAUAGGACAUCAUAGAGGGUGAGAAUCCCGUAUUUGACCAUUACUUCCAGCGUUGUGAUACACUUUCAAAGAGUCGGAUUGUUUGGGAAUGCAGUCCAAAAUGGGUGGUAAAUUUCAUCUAAAGCUAAAUAUUGGCGAGAGACCGAUAGCGAACAAGUACCGUGAGGGAAAGAUGAAAAGAACUUUGAAAAGAGAGUUAAACAGUACGUGAAAUUGUCAAAAGGGAAGCGUUUGACACCAGUGUUGUUUUCUCGAAAAUCAAUUAAAAAGUAUGGGAUUUUGUAUUGUUAAGACCUUAUCAGCUUACGGUACUUUUUUCUUAUUCUUUUUAAUGCACUUUUCGUUUAACAAGUCAACAUCAAUUUCUUUUGUUGUAAAAGAGUCAUUGGAAGGUGGCUUUCACUUCGGUGAAAGUGUUUAUAGCCUUUGGCUCCUAGCAAUCGGAGAGAUUGAGGUCUGCAGCGUAGAUCCUUCGGGGUUAGAUACGUAGAUGCUAAGUUAUAGUUUUUCAUAGACAACUUGUUGACUAUGAUUAAUCAUGUAGCUUACUCGUUUGCGCUAUUUUACCUACGCUUAGGAUGUUGAAUCUGUGCGAGACUAC